This 72-nucleotide transfer RNA is filed under the name Gammaproteobacteria bacterium. RNAcentral's name for it is "tRNA-His". It matches the Rfam family "tRNA". From Rfam's summary of the family: Transfer RNA (tRNA) molecules are approximately 80 nucleotides in length. The record is from RNAcentral. Lineage: Bacteria; Pseudomonadati; Pseudomonadota; Gammaproteobacteria.
GCGACCGUCUUCUAACGGCAGGAACCCCGGAUGUGACCCGGGACAAUGAGGGUUCGAAUCCCUCCGGCCGCC